RNAcentral lists this ribosomal RNA (468 nucleotides) under uncultured bacterium. RNAcentral's name for it is "partial 16S ribosomal RNA". It matches the Rfam family "Bacterial small subunit ribosomal RNA", at positions 28 to 507 of the family's 1533-position model. The record is from RNAcentral.
GACGAACGCUGGCGGCGUGCUUAACACAUGCAAGUCGAACGGAAAGGCCCUGCUUUUGUGGGGUGCUCGAGUGGCGAACGGGUGAGUAACACGUGAGUAACCUGCCCUUGACGUUGGGAUGACUUCAGGAAACUGGGGCUAAUACCGGAUAGGAGCUCCUGCUGCAUGGGGGGGGUUGGAAAGUUUCGGCGGUUGGGGAUGGACUCGCGGCUUAUCAGCUUGUUGGUGGGGUAGUGGCUUACCAAGGCUUUGACGGGUAGCCGGCCUGAGAGGGUGACCGGCCACAUUGGGACUGAGAUACGGCCCAGACUCCUACGGGAGGCAGCAGUGGGGAAUAUUGCACAAUGGGCGGAAGCCUGAUGCAGCAACGCCGCGUGCGGGAUGACGGCCUUCGGGUUGUAAACCGCUUUCGCCUGUGACGAAGCGUGAGUGACGGUAAUGGGUAAAGAAGCACCGGCUAACUACGUG